UGGGGAAUAUUGCACAAUGGGCGGAAGCCUGAUGCAGCGACGCCGCGUGGGGGAUGAAGGCCUUCGGGUUGUAAACUCCUUUCGACAGGGACGAAGCUUUUGUGACGGUACCUGUAUAAGAAGCACCGGCUAACUACGUGCCAGCAGCCGCGGUAAUACGUAGGGUGCGAGCGUUGUCCGGAAUUACUGGGCGUAAAGAGCUCGUAGGUGGUUUGUCGCGUCGUCUGUGAAAUUCCGGGGCUUAACUCCGGGCGUGCAGGCGAUACGGGCUGACUUGAGUGCUGUAGGGGAGACUGGAAUUCCUGGUGUAGCGGUGAAAUGCGCAGAUAUCAGGAAGGAGGAACACCGAUGGCGAAGGCAGGUCUCUGGGCAGUAACUGACGCUGAGGAGCGAAAGCAUGGGUAGCGAACAGGAUUAGAUACCCUGGUAGUCCAUGCCGUAAACGGUGGGCGCUAGGUGUAGGGGGCUUCCACGUCUUCUGUGCCGUAGCUAACGCAUUAAGCGCCCCGCCUGGGGAGUACGGCCGCAAGGCUA
Molecule: ribosomal RNA, 534 nt
Filed under: uncultured bacterium
Lineage: Bacteria
Description: bacterial SSU rRNA
Rfam family: Bacterial small subunit ribosomal RNA
Source: RNAcentral